CAUUACGAUAAAUUGGCGCUUUUUUUCCAUUGUGGAAUGAACUUCCAUUUCACACUUAUAUAUAGAAUUAUGCACUUCUUAGCCAUAGUGAGGUCUUUGUCAGCUGGUGCCUCAGUAUGGUAAUAAGGAAGACAGCACAUUCUUGUAGAUUUGAUAUGUGGAUGUAGAAAUUUCUGGUGUAGAAAGCAUUUGGUUCAUUUUCAGGUGACUGAUUGAGGCUAGUUAACUUUUCCUUAUAUCCUGAUUUACAUUUAAAAAUGGAAAUAUUGAUACUGAUGGCAUUCAUAACAUACUUCAGAAUUUACGGAUGAAAUGCUACAGAUGUAUUCUAUUUAUAUGAAAUGCAUAUUACAAAGCAAGAUUGUCUUGAGAUCAAGAGAUUCGAAGAUUGAACUUUUCUAAAUAUUUCAUUUUAUUUGCAUCCUUAAAUAAUUGAACCAUUUAGGAAAGGUACAUGCUGGAAACAAGAACUUGAUCCAUAGUAAUGUUCUCCUUACAGUUCCUUUGGUUUUUGCUUGGACAAUGGCAUAGUUUAUCCUGAAGCCAGUCCUGUGUUACAGAGUAGGCAUCUGAUAUGAGACAACUCUGCUGUCUUACCAGAUUCAUAGCAUAGAUGAGUUGUAUGUUUGUACGUCUGUGUCUGUAUGUCCGACCUGUGAUUGGAUUGCUCUAAUUUCACUCAUAGUUUUUUAGUUUUACUUGUUUGCUGCUGUGAAGGUGAGGGGUGGAGGAGGAGUUGUCCCAUCAGUUUACAUUAAUUGAUGAUAUUUCCCAGCAGUUUCCCUCUGCCUAUCCUUGUCUCUUGGGGUGACACCCUAUGGGUGGUGUUGACUGCAAAGCAGUAGCCCCAUGCUAAUAUUCAGGGCUUUAUGCAGGCAUUGGGUAUUGAAGUAUGCUAUUACUGAACACUCUCAAUACAUAAAGAUUUUUUACCUAUUUAUGACUCUUCCUGAAUCUGUGAGCAUGUACAUCUAGCUAAUAAAACCCCCAAAGAACAGCUCUUUUAUAUCCUGACAAAAAGGCUUUUUGAUUAAUCUAUAUUAAGUAAUAUAGUUUAGUUUGUUGUAAACAUGUAGACACGUAAAAAUCACUGAUUUGGUUUGGUUUUGGUUUUUUGGGGGGUUUGUUUCUUUUUUUUUUUUUUCUCAUUAUCUAAAUUUUUCAUUAUCAUUUUUGACUAUGUAUCCAUUAUUUCCAGACACAGGUGCUGUACCUAUAGCCAUUAAUUUAUCUUUCUUUUUCUCUCAUAAAAAAUCAUGUUAAUGUGGCAUCCUGCAGAUCUCUGAUGUUUACAUAGUAUCAGCACAGGGAAAUACUACUUUCAGUUUGAUACACAAAGCCCUCCUUGUCUCUUGUGUCUUUUGUCUGUAGGCUAUUAUGCAUGUGACUAAAGCCAUGCAUGACUUAAGCAAAUGUUUGAAUAGGGUUCUUGUGUAGUAGGACUGUAUAAGCCAUUAGGCAUACUCUCUUUAACUUGGUGAUGAAAACAUUAUGGUACAUUUGGUCACACAAAGUAGAGUAAAAUUGCUUUUGUGGCAGCAGAAUAAACAGCAUUCUAAUCUGUGGGGUUUUUUUAUUGUGCACGUGUGUGUGCGCUGCAUAUUUUCGGCAAAAUUAUCAAGCAGGACUGAACAUGAAAAGUGUUAAAGUUAUUGGAGUUGUGGAGUGAAAGCUGGGCUGAAGAGAGAAAGAAUGUAUCACUUUUUCCAUUAUGAAAUUUGAAAUCAACAUUAUUCUGUCAUAUUUGUGAUCUGAGCUUGAAAUCGGUUAAUUGACAUGUGAGGCAGUUGCUAACCAUCUUUGUCAUUUAUAAAGCCUUUUGUGAGGGCAUUGUUUUUCUUUCUUCUCUAUAUGUGGUGGAUACUGGAGUGGGGACUUGAAUUUUUGCUAUGGGAAUGUGAAAAACAUGGGAAGCUGUUCUCUGCCAAGUUAUUUCCCCAAGGCUCUGCUUUACAUUCUGACAAUCAAUGACCUGUCAGGUGUAGUUAUGCACCAUAGCAAUGAUAUGAGGUCAAUCAGAUGAAACCAAGGUAUGUAUUCCCAGCAGAUCCCAGCUAUCUGUUUAACACUGUCAAACUAAGUUUUCUUUGCUAAAGAGCAUCCUCUUUCAGUUUAGUUUCUUUUUAGAUUUGAUUAACUCUGGAUUUGCAUCCAACCUGUGAAUUUCUGACAGGAGUAAAAAUAUUUAUUUAUUUUGCUUUGUCUUGAAAAAUACUAAAUUACAUGUUCUGGUAUUUUGUCUUUUAACUUAAACCCAUGCUUGUUAUAACUGUGCAACUCUUCCUCAUAUAAAGAGUGUGUAUUUGAUGUUAAAAAACCCCAAAAACAAGUAUGUUCUUUGCUGUAAUGGUCAGGAGAUAUUUAAGUAUCUGUUUUACAGUAACAUAAAUUUAGUGUCUCCUAAACACAUAAAUAUUUCCUUAGAGAAAACCACCUUACAGAUAUAACACAUUUAUUUUGCCUUGCAAUUCCAUAUUUGUGCAGCAAAAGAUGUAUAAAUUGGAUCUGUAAAUCAGUGUUUUUAUAUGGAAUCACUUGUCAUUGUUUUAUGGAACUCCUGCAUCUUGCCAAUAUUUCCAACCUCUAGAUAUCAGAGGAGAAAACACUUUCUUAAAAUGGAUACAGGAUUUUCCAUAUUUUCUCUUAAAAACAAACAAACAACCCCCAAAAUAAAUAAAAAAAUUAAAAAGAGCUCUGUUUUGUUAGCUCAUGUCUGAGAACUGCUAAGGAUUAAGGAUAAACAUGCACUUGGUACACUGUGUGCUGCAUACAUUGUAACGGAACAAGAGCAUUUUUAGCUACUGUGUGUAUCAUAUUGAAAGCAGAAGACAGCAGUGAUAACAGAAACUAAACAACUAAAACAAUGAAAACAACUAAACAACUGGAUUAAAAUGUAUUUAUUAAGUAACAAAAAAAAAAAAGAAAGAAAAUGUAAGUGUUGCUUUUUGAGAGGAAACAAGAAACUAAACCUAAAACUUUAAAAAAUAUAUGUUAAAAUAACUCAUUCAGAAAUGCAGGCUAAUCCUGUCUGAAAGCUGCUGCAAGAUUUUAUAUGAAAAAUCUGGCUUUUUUUCAUGAUGUUGUAAUCCAUCCUUUAUUUGUUGUCUUGCUAAAUAUAGUUCAAGCUCUAUCAUCUGAGAAUAAGUUAGUAUACGUCUGCACUGUGAUUCUUUUCUUUUUUCAGAUAUUUUGAAAUCAUCUGUUGAUUUUCUGGUCUGCAAGACCAGCAUGUGAAUCAUAUCAACAACUAUACUCCAUGUUUCAAAAAUAUGUAAAACUUUGCAGUUCUUCAAGCAGAAGAAGCAGAGAUCUGGAUCCACAAUGGAGUGCUGGACAAAGAACACAAAGGCCUCAUCCCUGCAACACCAGGAGCUCAGUGGCAUGAAUACAUGCAUCCAGUGCUUCCUGAGCAUACUGCUUUCCAAGACAGUAUAUGUGUGUGGUGAUUGUGUUCAUCUCCUGAGGGAUCCCUGAUAAACUAAACCAGGGUGAUGUAGUGAUGGUCUCUUGAGGUCUGAACUGCAUCCUGAGCUCAUUCCAAGCUCCACUUCAUCCUGCUGCAGGUUUGUUUGAACCACUGAAGCUGUUAUAUUAAUAACUGGAUUAUAAGCAUACCUGGUUUUUGGUCCUUCACAUGCUUUUGAUGCUAAUUCUACUUUAGGACUUUGUAUUGUUUUAAUGUGAAUACCUUAAAUAAAGUAUCCUAAAAUGUGCAGGGACUUGCUUCAAUGGAUCAAGCCCUAUUCUCUACAUGCAUUUUGAGUUCUGUCUCCCAGCCUGAGUCUGUCAGAGGUGCAUGGCAUUUCAUAUGUAUUUUCUUUCUCUCAGGAGUGAGACUCAACAUCCACUGUAGGACUGACUUUAAAGUGCAGCCUCUAUGGAAAUUUAGCCUACUUACACCAGGAGAUCCAUGAGUCACUCUAUUACAGUAUCUUAGCUGCUGGAGUCCACAAAGCAUUUAAUAGUUUCCUUCACAAACAACACACUUAGGUGGUUCAUUUCCAAAGGGGAAAAAUCUGAAAAGCAUAACUUUUAGUGUUUGGUAAAAAAAUCCAAUCUAAACCCGCACCAACAACAGGGAAUGUUUUUUAAGAUUUUUUUUUUUAUUUUACUUUUUAAAUUACCCAGAAUGCCUUUUCACAUCAGUGUGGUAGUGUGCCUUUGGGCCACCAAGUCAGAGUUUCUUCUGGAAAUACAUGGUAAUUGCCUUUGAGCUGUAAGUGCUCCAGAGUAGACCUCCCCUCUCUAAAAGAGCUCUUCAAGGGUAUUUCUGUUACUCUAAUUCACUCAAAACGAGUUGCUUAAAAUCUCUGGACUCUCUGACAGAUGAAAUGGGAUUGAUUGGAAGACACUCUGUUCCGCAAGGAACUCCAAGCACAGUUUUUACAAAGGACUUAUUACCAAUAGAAUGCAGGCACUCUCAAAAUAAGAACAAAGUAAAACUACCAGCUCUCAGCUAGAAGGAAUAUCUGAGAAAAGGAAUGAAAAACUCAGUGUGUAGUUGAUAAUUAAUCUCUAAGGUGCUGCAGACUCCACUUAGCUUUUAUAGUAUCUAGAGAGAAAAGAUGUAAUCCACCAUCACGUUUAUUCCUCUGUUCUUCUAUCAAAAGGUUGUUAGGCCUCACCUCUUCAAAGAUUUGUGCACAUAUUUAAUCUUCUGACUUUACAAAUGGUAAAAUUAAGCAUGUAGGUCAAUUUCUGCAUGAAAAAGAUGUGGUGGGUUUUUUUUGGGUUUGUUUUUUUUAUUUUUUUCACAUCAGCUAAAGUAAACUGCAGGAGGAAUCAGGGAAAAUUUCCAAACCAUUGUGUUUAGACUUGCUUGGAAAGGUUCCUGAAGUACAUCUUCCUCAGAUUUCUCUGUUGCUUCUGAGUAUCAGGAUUGUGAUAGAUACACAUGAUUCUAUUUGAGUUAUCUAAAGUGCUUUCUAGUGAAUUCUUCUUUUCCAGUAACUGAAUUUUCAAGUUUUUCAAGAGGAAAAAAAGUUCUCACUUGUGAAAAAAACACAGAAAACACACUCAUUUCAGAGCAAAAAUGAAUAAUCUGCUUUGAUUAAAAAAGCCAAAGCAUUCUAUUGCUCAGGUUUUAAUUUUCUACACACAUAUCUCCUGCUUAGGGAGGCUCUGCAGUACACCUUUCCCUUUCAACCCUUGUUAUUUGGUGCAUUAAUUUCAUUUAACAACAAGGAACUGAAACAUUACGAUGUGGAGUGAGGAAAGACAGCCUUUUAAUACCAUUUGGUUGCUUGCCAAAUAUUUUGCAAGCGUUCCUGUUAGGACAUAUUACGUGAGCAUACAUACUACAUUAUAUAUAUACAGCAUAUUUAUAUUCUUACAACAUGUUUAAACUUCUCACUUAUAAAUGUCUUGUACAUCUAGAUUCUCCUGGGAAAGCAAACCUGCACAACCUGCCUUUGUCCUUCUUCCUUGGCAAGGUUAAUGUGGCUUUUGUCAUGUAGGGGGAUCUUGAAGACUAGGUCAGCACUGCAGGCAGCUUGCAAAUGGGUGUGUUCCAAGGGGAGAGGGAGCAAAUCAGAGAGGAAACCUGAAUGGGCUAUGUGUGAUGAAAAGAUAGAAAAGUGAUAGAGAUCAAAGUAUGUUGAUUCAGUUGUAUAAUUUGGCCUCAAUAUCAAACACAGGUUACAGUUCACCAGGGGAAAUUUUUCUGUUUGCCUGCUCUCCUUCCAAAAAAAAAGAGGAGGGAAGAGGAAUGGAAAAAGGAAGCAAUUCUAAGAUCCAACCAAUUGUUUUAAUUGUAGCAGAGCUCAAGUUGGGAGUAUCUGGAGCAUUGCUGAAUGACAUGUUCACUGCCUGUUUGUUUUGCUUUGUGGGUUUUUUUGUUUGUUUUUGUUUUUGUUGUUUUUGUUUGGUUUUUUUUGGUUGUUUUUUUUUUUUUUUUGGUGAGGGGAUUUAUUUGGUUUUGGUUUAGUUUCAGUUUAGUGUUUGGUUUGGGGUUUUUGUUAUUUUUUUUUCUCUUCCUUUGGAAAGGGUUGUAGUAAACUCUAUUAAAUAUAAAUGUUUAUCACAUAAUGGAUUUUGGAUUUUUUUCAUCAAACAUGAGGCAAGUUCUUCAAAAUGCUUUUCUUGGUAAGAAAUGACAAAGAGUGCCAAUGGGAAUGCUUAUAUGAUCCUUUAUGUUUUCCUGCUUGAACUAUGUGAACAGUGAAAUUGCAGCUGAGAACUGUUGCAAUAUUCUGGCAGGAAUGCACUUAAUUUCUUCUUUCUCAGCAAGUUCCUACAUGCAGCUAUUACUACAAACAGAGACUUCUCAUGUCUUUGCCCAAAACAUUAAAAAAAGACCAAAAAAAGGCAAGCAAAAAACCUUCCCACAUUAAAUUCAAGACAAAAGGAAAUAAGUUGUCUGUAGGGAGGCUGGUGCAUACGCUCUUAAAAUCCUCUUCUUAUUGAAGUCUCUCUGAACUUUUUGAUGCUAUAAAGGAUGGCCAAAUUUUCUUCACUGAUGAGGGAAACUUGGCAUUCUAUUUCUUUGGAAAAUCACUUUUAUUCUUUUCUUUAUUUCAUCAAGGGGCUUCUAGAACAGCCGUGUGCUGCAAUAUUAUAGAACAUUUUCCUAUGAUGUGGACCCAUGGGGCCUGAUGAUGUUUUGUCCUGUAGUAUUUUCAGUAGCUGCAAAUGCCUAAGGAACAUUGCCCUGAGAGAGAGAAGCUGUGCUACAGGCAUUGACACUGCAUGGACUGCUUACAGAAAACACAAGGAAACAGGGAAUUCAGCAGCGUUAUUCUCAUAUGUAGAGCUCUUUCUUUGCCUGUCCUCUUGCAGUGUCGCCACAUUGCAGACUCACCCUACGCCAUUGUUCAAACAACAUGUCUGAACAACAGAUGAUUUUGUUCAUUGGCCCAAAUCUGAAAAGCUAGGGGGGAGGUGAGAAGUGAGUCCAGUAGAAGGGAAGCUACUCACAUUUUAAACUAAACUCAAAACAUAGAGCUAAAUUUGUGGGAUCUUCAACAUCUUUUCCUUGUCAGCUGGAUUGUUUUAAUGCAUAAAUAUGUUAUUUUGAAAGGAACAGUAAAAAUUUCAUUCAGGAAAGUAGUGAAAUAAACACCUUAUCUAAACAAGCCUUUCAAUUUUAAAAAUAUCAUAACGCUAAUGUUGAUAGUCACUACUUAAACGUUUUCCUGUUGAUUUUUGAUCUCUUCCCCUGUCAGAUUGGUAAAAUAUGAAUUUCAUUCCUUCCCUUAAAUUGCCUGGAACUUGUGGGGAAACAGAAUAUUUUUCUCUGUUUGCAAAAGAUGGGCCAAAUAAUGUAUUUUUAAGCCUAUUGAUUUUCAUCCUUCCUGGUUAAGCUGUAAAAAUGUCUGCUUUUUCCCCACAGAAAUUCCUAUUCUGUGAGACGUACUCCAAACUCCUUUAUCCAAAAUAAUAUUACUAAUACCUUUAUCUAAAAAUGCUAAUUUAAUUUCUGUGAAUCUUUCUUCCUGCUGUAAUGGAAAGCCCCUCAAGUAUAUUACCAUGCCUGCCUCUGUUUGCUGUAUCAGUUCCACAUGCUAAUGUGAUUUCCUGUAAGAGGAGAUGAAUAUAUUUGUUCUGCAGUGAAAUCGGGGGGGAAGAAAAAAAAGAGAAAAACCUGAACAGUGCUUUAAAGAGAGUAAUCUCAACGGAAAAUAUCAAGUUGGUUCUACAGCGUGAGUCUUAGAUGUAAAAUCUUGCUCUAGCACAGACUCCAGACUUUCUCUGCUUUUCUGGCCAGUGAGGGAUGUUGUUUCUGCCACCUGUUUGGAGACAAUUGUGCAACUGGGACUGUGGAAUGACGUCCAGUUGCCUUUUUUAGAAUAUGAAUAGGACUUUUGAAAUUGGCUGUGCUGAGCAGUUUGGGGCUGAAUCACUCUGUAGACUUGCCAGAGAAAGCGUUUAGCUGAUGGACUUGAGCCAAAGCCCACUGUAUCUCACAGCAACGCUGGCUUUGGCCUUGGUAGUCUGGGGCUAAAGCUCUGCAUGAAUGACAGCUUCUUUUCUGGAAUUAUCAAUAAAAACUUAUGAUUUCUAGUUUCUGACUUCAUUUUGCCAAAGUAUUUUACCUACAUUUUUUCAGUUUGAGCCACCACUGCCUGGUUCUGCUCUUCCCUCCUCUGAAAGGGGUGUUACGUUUGAUGGUAAUGUGGAUGCUUCAUCAUGAAAAUGUCAGGGGUAAGCAGCAAUCUCAGCGCUCAGCUGGCUGAACUGCUUAGUCCCACUGUCCACUCACUUUUAAUUUUUACUCACUUUUCAUUUCUGAGUGUGUGCUAUUUUGAAGUGCCUCAAAUGCUCUCAGACCCCAAGCUAUUUUGGACGUGAUCAUGUCAUUUCCCUUCCUUCUGCUGCAAUCACAAUUGGAUCCUGCGGGCACUUCCCAUAACAGGCCUCAGUUAUCAACGGCAGGAGUUUCAGUGCAUUUCCCUUUGCAAAGACUUUUGUUGCCAGUUGGGAGUUGUUACUUGUUUAUGUCAGUCUGCGAGUAAUGCCCUUUUGCUAGCAUUGUACACAAUGUUUUUAGGUUUUUUGACAUUUAUCCCUCCUGUUGUUAGACAAUGCUAGCUUUGCAAGUUGCAAAGAGUAAUCUUUUCCCCUCGGGUGUCAUUUUUUCUGCAUUUUGCCCUUUUUUUUUUUUUUUUUUUUUAAUGUGUGAUUAUUUUCCAGUUUUAAAGGUAAAAAGAAUAAAAAUUAACAAGCUUAGAGGCAUUUCCCAGUCUGCUACUCACUGCUGUGAAUAGAUGUUAAACAUAGAUUUCUGUGCCCACUUUCAGUCUCCUUUAGAUCUGUUCCAGCAGUGUUACUGCUUUCAUGCUAUCUUCCUUGGUUUUGUGGGAUGCAACCUAAAUUGUACCAGCCCCAGCAUUUCUGUUAAAUGGUAGGAUGAGCUCUGCAGACUUUACUCCAUUGUAAUCCAUAUAAUAAUACCUAUCUUGUGGGUCACUGAGCAUGUCUUAUGAAAAGAACACUUAAACCCUGUUAAUUUUGAAUAUUGACUUUCAGUAUUUGGUCCAUCACUCUGAAGUCAUAACUUUAGGAUCUCUUUAAUUCUUUUUCAUUUCAUACAUAGAAGAAACAUUUUAUCCUUCCAUUUGAUUGCUUCCUAACUUUUUUCUGUGUUUUUAUUCCAACAAAGUUUGCUUUAGCAUGGCUGUAUAGACUGUAUUGCUGUAAUGGUGUCAAAACUGUGGAGACACCUUCAGAGCCAAAUUGUGCUUCAUACUUGUGCUACAUUUCUGCAUAGAAGAUGGACAGCCCAUGCCUACCAGACUAUUUCCUUGUGUUGCUUCUUGUACAUAGAUAUAUAAAAAUCUGCUCCAAUAGCCCACUGUGAAGAAAUGUCCCAGUUUCACAUGGUCCCUAUGGAUCAAGCUCCCUGUAGGCGUGCUAAGAAGAUAGGUGUUUUUGAUCUUCCACACUGGCCAACUAAAAACUCUCUAUUUUUUAUAUUUAUGGUCCUGUACGCCUUUCCCACCAGAACUGCAUGCCCUAUUGCAGUGAAUUAGAACCUCCCAGGAAUGCUCUUUCUGGCUUUAGUUAUUUUUCACAAACCUCUUUAAAAUAAUUCUUAACCCUGAAUAUGUAGGUAACAUCUGCACUGUGCAUUCUACAAUGACAGCUAUUUUACGCGAAACUUGUCAGCACUUCUGAUCAGAUUCUAAUUUUAUGGUUGUUCUUUUAUUGUUUGAAGUUUCCUCCCACUUAGGACUUUGGAAUGGUUUGUGAGAACAUUCAAAGAAACAGAUGACUGUUGUUAAGACUCUGUCUUCUCUCUAGAACUAAUUCAGCUGUAGAAAAAAAUAAAUGAAAAAUAUGCCCUCAGGCAUGCUUUCCCUUAUGCAUAUACUCAUGUCCCAUGAAAAUAUUUUUCUGUAAAUUAGCAGCUUGGUUUAGUCUUGUCUCUCAAGGUUAUCUGGUUGCAGGGUAUAGCAUGUGCUUCAUAAUAAGUGAAAAACAAGUUUAAUCACUGAAAUUCUGUUAUUUUCAGCUGCAAUAAGAUGCAAGAUCAAGGUAGCAAAUUUUAUUGCCAGCUGAAGCUGCAGGGUAACAGGCUGCUGCUGGUUUUCCCUGCAGACAACAGCAAAGAGCACAUUUUGUGUCAAAGUAAUUGCACUAGCAGGUGCCGUUGAGCAACUGUGUUUUGGUUGCGACACUAUUGUGGCUCAUUGCUUACCACAAAUGUUUAUGUAUAAAAAAAAUUCAGUUCUGCUUUUAAAUUCCUAUUCAACUGACAAGGAAGGAUAGGGUAGACAAUGGUGAAGCAAUAACUACAGUUUAAAAGGGAGCAAGUCUCCUUCCCAUUUCUGGUGGGUGAGUACCACUGUUCUAUCACAAGUCCUUCCGUAGGUGUUUAUCACAGCAACCGUAAACUGGCAUUCAGUGCUGGCAACAUGAAAAUCCAUAAGAACUGGAAGAGAUAGUUGCAAUGGGAUACAUGCUGAUAUGAUUCUGUCAUAUUUUUAGGGAAUAAUGUAAUUUCAUGCACCAUACUGUCCUGGCUGAGGGCUCCAUGUCCCUCCUGUGACUCUCUUCUUGCCUGCCUUCCUCAUGUGCUCCACCUCAGGACUUGGCAGCUCCUGCUGCAGGAAAAGCAUCUGGGGACAGAUGCAGCGAAGGGAGGGCUGGCAGAACAGCACCUGAGGGCCCAUAGCAUUUAGGGUGCACAGAAACACUGAUAAUCUUGGCUCCUCCUAGUCUUGUGAAUCCAUGUAAGUUUACUUGCUGAAACCAUUACCUGCUUGUGCCAGGCCCAAGACAAUGUUUAAUUUGAUCUUUUCAAGGCUGUGGACAGCUGCAGAGGAGGGAACUUCAAAGAAAUGCAUUGAUGCCUCAGGCUUUAGCUUUUAUAUUUUUCAGAUUCUGUACUGCUUUCGUGUGUAAUUCUGAGCUUCAUAUUAGGGGAUAAUAAGCUCUCUUCACAGAGUAGGCAGAUAAAACAACUCCUUCUCUAGCUGGAGACCAAGGACAAAUGGUCCAAAUUUCAGACCCAAGAACAUAAACAAUGGUGGACUGAAGGUAGAAAAACAAGAAGGAUGGGACUUGAUAACCUAAAGCUAAAAUUGGACAAUUAACUCCAGUAUGCUAAUGGAUCAGAACUUAUAAAAUAUGAGACCUCGUGACCGGUUGUCUAUUUUGUGAACAUUUUGGGUCCAUCUUGGGUGUAGCCCUGGCUGGGCUCUUAUGCUGCCCAAGGUGUAUCCAUUGAGGCCUUCUAAUAAACACCUACUUUAUUCUUAA
This is a non-coding RNA of Taeniopygia guttata (zebra finch), 11202 nucleotides long. The record is from RefSeq and is a predicted model, not a curated record. Lineage: Eukaryota; Metazoa; Chordata; Aves; Passeriformes; Estrildidae.